ACUUAAAUAAUUUAAAAAAAAUAUUGAUUUGUGGAAUCAAAAAUGUGAUAAUUAAUUUCAUUUUAAGUC
RNAcentral lists this transfer RNA (69 nucleotides) under Athyma selenophora (staff sergeant). RNAcentral's name for it is "tRNA-His". Lineage: Eukaryota; Metazoa; Arthropoda; Insecta; Lepidoptera; Nymphalidae. The record is from RNAcentral.